AGGCCUUUACCCUCUUCAUACCCGUUCUUUGACAGCACUUUGGCUACCAUAGCCAUAGCCCCCUCCUUCCCGGUAUCUUGCAGUUCAAGGGCCUGGAAAGAACUCUCCAAUGAUUCCUCGGCCGCUUCCACAUAAGGAAGUGAUUGCGGCUUGGUGACCAGUAUGGCCUCUUCGCCCCUCACAGUGAUGAUUUUGCCGUCCUUAAUG
This 207-nucleotide unclassified non-coding RNA is filed under the name Hevea brasiliensis (rubber tree). Lineage: Eukaryota; Viridiplantae; Streptophyta; Magnoliopsida; Malpighiales; Euphorbiaceae. The record is from RNAcentral.